Molecule: ribosomal RNA, 673 nt
Filed under: uncultured bacterium
Lineage: Bacteria
Description: bacterial SSU rRNA
Rfam family: Bacterial small subunit ribosomal RNA
Source: RNAcentral
AGAGUUUGAUCAUGGCUCAGAUUGAACGCUGGCGGAAUGCUUUACACAUGCAAGUCGAGCGGCAGCGCGGGGCAACCUGGCGGCGAGCGGCGAACGGGUGAGUAAUGCAUCGGAACAUGUCCAUGUCGUGGGGGAUAGCCCGGCGAAAGCCGGAUUAAUACCGCAUACGCCCGAGAGGGGAAAGCCGGGGACCGCAAGGCCUGGCGCGAUUGGGUUGGCCGAUGUCCGAUUAGCUUGUUGGUGAGGUAAAGGCUUACCAAGGCGAUGAUCGGUAGCUGGUCUGAGAGGAUGAUCAGCCACACUGGGACUGAGACACGGCCCAGACUCCUACGGGAGGCAGCAGUGGGGAAUUUUGGACAAUGGGGGCAACCCUGAUCCAGCCAUUCCGCGUGAGUGAAGAAGGCCUUCGGGUUGUAAAGCUCUUUUGUCCGGAGCGAAACGGUACGGGUGAAUAUCCCGUGCUACUGACGGUACCGGAAGAAUAAGCACCGGCUAACUACGUGCCAGCAGCCGCGGUAAUACGUAGGGUGCGAGCGUUAAUCGGAAUUACUGGGCGUAAAGCGUGCGCAGGCGGUUGUGUAAGCCAGAUGUGAAAUCCCCGGGCUUAACCUGGGAAUGGCAUUUGGGACUGCACGGCUUGAGUAUGGCAGAGGGGACUAGAAUUCCUGGUGUA